GUGAAGAAGGAUGUAUUUGCUUCCCCUUCUGCCAUGUUUGUAAGUUUCCUGAGGCCUCCCCAGCCCUUCAGAACUAUGGGGUAACACAUAGAAAAGGCACGGAGAAGUUAAGUGAUUUGCCUGUGGUCACAAAGCCUGUUAGCAGCAAACCCAGAACAAGAACCUAAGAUUUAUGACCGCCAGUUCCAGCUGUUUUUCUUCGUCAUGUAUCCUCAGCAAUCAACAUAAUCAAAAUCUGUUUGGAGACUACUGAUUUGUAUAAAGGAAGAUAACACCGAACAACCAAACAGGAAGUAAUCCAGCGAAUCUGGAACAGCGGUGGAAUUUAGAAGCAAGGCCAGAUGAGGACCCUAAGACCUAGAGAAACUAAGUCAUUUGCUCAAGAAGACAAAGGCAUCGUCUGGUCCAGUUCAGCACAGAGCUAGCUGCAAGUGACAACCUAAGAGAAAAGUCAGCGAGAACAAAGAUCCAUCUCUUCGUUGACUGCCUUAAUCCCUAGAGCUGUGUUCUUCAAUUUGUUACUAUUUGCUACAAUUUUUCUGCCUAACAAGCAAGUUCUAUCCUGCCUAGGAGAGAAACUUUUAGUAAAUUCAUCUUCAUUCACUACUAUUCAGCUCAUGCUGUAAAAACUUAGAUAAUGCUGUCUGAAAUACUUAACUCCUGGUCAAAUGCAGCUGCUAUUUCAUUC
Molecule: long non-coding RNA, 688 nt
Filed under: Homo sapiens (human)
Lineage: Eukaryota; Metazoa; Chordata; Mammalia; Primates; Hominidae
Description: PREDICTED lncRNA (TCONS_00238471)
Source: RNAcentral